CCAAAAUCAUCAACAUGUGAUUUACCAGUGAAUCAGCCUGAAUUUGCUCCCUUCAAGAAGAAUGGUGCCUGUAUGUAAAAAUCACAAAGCAUGCACCGUUGGUGGCACUUGGUGGCUUAUUCAUUAUUCUGUUUGGUAGAUUGGAGAGGCAGAAGAAUAAAAAGAGUUAUUGUUCUCAUUUCCAUGUGAUUUGACUCAGGCAUGUUUAAAGAGUAGCUCUUGUACCAGGGAAAUGAAGAUUUGAUCCUGCACUGCUCUUAAGACACUCAGGAAUCUCUCCGUUACCUCAGAGAAUCUGGCCACAAACAGGACUCAGAGUGGAAAUUGCCCAACCUGUCUGCUAUCACUCUCUUGAAAGAGACAGAUCCGAUCAGCAUCUCUCAACUGUGACUCAUGAGGUAUUUUUGGCUAUGUCAAGAACAUUCUCAAACAAGGUUCCAGGAAGCUAAACCUUACAGAGAGAAACACAGGCUCUCUUGCCACCUGAUUCUCAUGUGGGUUUGGUCGAGGAAGGACCAAGAGGAACUUGGAAAUCAGAAGGAAAAAGAGAACAAAGAAUGCACACCUACCAAAGGGCUACUUUGCACUCAGCACUGAGUAAGUCACUUUCCAAUCAAUCAUCCCAAAAACCAUCUGAAAUAUUUGUGUUCUUACUUGAUCGAUGAGGAACUUUACCUUAUGCAGUGAAGAAUCUAAGAAGAGAGAGGUUCUACCUCAGAGAAGUGAGCCAGACCAUGUAGAUGGUGGGCUCUCAGGGCAGGUUGGCCAGGGGAUCCGUAAUGACCUCUCUGUUUAUAUCGCUACGCAGUAAAAAGAGAUGAAUCUAAAGGAAACACGUUGUACGUGUAGAUAGUAGAAUGGCUUCCCAAGAGGGACACUAAGUUACCUUUAUUGCUAUUACUGACCAGCAUUGUCAUUUUAUAAGUAGAUUUGUCUGAGCGCCUUAAUGGUAAUAUAGCUGGGCAAAGGGUUGAUUACUUAUAUUUCAUGAGAAUAGAUGAUUAAACAUUCUCAACCUAAAGAAAUGUUAUUAUCUUUAUUACAUUAAUAUUUUGUUAAAGAAAGAGGAUUACAGCAUUAUUUACAGUUACUGAUCUGUGGAUUAAUAGGAAACACUGCUCUUUAAAUAUAGUAAUAACAUGUUAGUUACCAAGAAAACUGAGGCCUGAGAGGUAGAGAAAUUCUGAUGAACAUAAACAAAUUGGGUAUAAGAAUGGAAAGCAAAUCAUUUUUACGGCAAAUGCAUCUGAGCAAACCUGGAAUAAUACUAUUUUCUAAUUGUCAAUAACUGUCACCCCUUGAUUACAGAUGUUUAUAAUACAUAAUAGAAAUAUAUACUAUAUAUUGCCCAUUAAAAUUGGCAAGCAAAAUAGAAGCUCCAGUAUUUCAGAAUUUCUUGAAAAGAAAAUUGGGGGAAGGGGAGAAUACACACACAUACACACACACACACAGACACACUCACAAAAUAAAACAUAUUAUGCCAAGCCCACACUGUAAUUUAUCAACUGGGAAGGAAAUUGGCAUGUCUUUUCCUGCUGAUUUAUUGGUUAAUUCCAACAAUUCAUUGUAGAAAAGGCCACCAAUGAAUUACAGUGUGGGAAAAAAAUUAAGCGGAGCAUUUAGAAAGGUGUUUCAGAAUACAGCCUUUAGAAACAACUUACAUAGCUAUUUUAUAGCCAGUCCCAAAGCAAUUGGUGCA
Molecule: long non-coding RNA, 1699 nt
Filed under: Homo sapiens (human)
Lineage: Eukaryota; Metazoa; Chordata; Mammalia; Primates; Hominidae
Description: HSALNT0173627
Source: RNAcentral